This 282-nucleotide unclassified non-coding RNA is filed under the name rhizosphere metagenome. RNAcentral's name for it is "partial ribosomal RNA internal transcribed spacer region". The record is from RNAcentral.
GUAGGUGAACCUGCGGAAGGAUCAUUAAAAAUAUCCCUCACCCUGGAUGAAAGUCCGGGUGGACCAGCCUGAUGGGCUCUAAACACGUAAUGCCCGUCCGGUCUCCAGUGUGAGAUCGUUCUGGUACUCGUUACUUCAAACCAUUGUGAACCUCCCGUUGCUUCGGCGGCAUGCUUCGUGCUGUCAGCCCGUCCGAGGCCCACCGAAACCACUUCUGUAAACUUCUGUCAGUAUACGAAAAGUAAAUCGUUAAAACUUUCAACAACGGAUCUCUUGGUUCUC